Molecule: ribosomal RNA, 965 nt
Filed under: bacterium enrichment culture
Lineage: Bacteria
Description: bacterial SSU rRNA
Rfam family: Bacterial small subunit ribosomal RNA
Source: RNAcentral
GUUGUCCGGAAUUACUGGGCGUAAAGGAUGUGUAGGCGGAUAUUUAAGUGAGAUGUGAAUCCCCGAGCUCAACUUGGGGGCUGCAUUUCAAACUGGGUAUCUAGAGUGCAGGAGAGGAAAGCGGAAUUCCUAGUGUAGCGGUGAAAUGCGUAGAGAUUAGGAAGAACAUCAGUGGCGAAGGCGGCUUUCUGGACUGUAACUGACGCUGAGGCAUGAAAGCGUGGGGAGCAAACAGGAUUAGAUACCCUGGUAGUCCACGCCGUAAACGAUGAGUACUAGGUGUAGGAGGUAUCGACUCCUUCUGUGCCGCAGUUAACACAAUAAGUACUCCGCCUGGGAAGUACGGUCGCAAGAUUAAAACUCAAAGGAAUUGACGGGGGCCCGCACAAGCAGCGGAGCAUGUGGUUUAAUUCGAAGCAACGCGAAGAACCUUACCUAGACUUGACAUCCCCUGAAUAACGUAGAGAUACGCGAAGCCCUUCGGGGCAGGGAGACAGGUGGUGCAUGGUUGUCGUCAGCUCGUGUCGUGAGAUGUUGGGUUAAGUCCCGCAACGAGCGCAACCCUUAUCAUUAGUUGCUACCAUUUAGUUGAGCACUCUAGUGAGACUGCCCGGGUUAACCGGGAGGAAGGCGGGGAUGACGUCAAAUCAUCAUGCCCCUUAUGUCUAGGGCUACACACGUGCUACAAUGGUGAGAACAACGAGAUGCAAUACCGCGAGGUGGAGCAAAACUUUAAAACUCAUCUCAGUUCGGAUUGUAGGCUGAAACUCGCCUACAUGAAGUUGGAGUUGCUAGUAAUCGCGAAUCAGAAUGUCGCGGUGAAUACGUUCCCGGGCCUUGUACACACCGCCCGUCACACCAUGAGAGCUGGUAACACCCGAAGUCCGUGAGGUAACCUUUAUUGGGGCCAGCGGCCGAAGGUGGGAUUAGUGAUUGGGGUGAAGUCGUAACAAGGUAACCGUAAA